CCGUAGCUAACGCAUUAAGUGCCCCGCCUGGGGAGUACGGCCGCAAGGCUAAAACUCAAAGGAAUUGACGGGGGCCCGCACAAGCGGCGGAGCAUGCGGAUUAAUUCGAUGCAACGCGAAGAACCUUACCAAGGCUUGACAUGAACCGGUAAUACCUGGAAACAGGUGCCCCGCUUGCGGUCGGUUUACAGGUGGUGCAUGGUUGUCGUCAGCUCGUGUCGUGAGAUGUUGGGUUAAGUCCCGCAACGAGCGCAACCCUCGUUCUAUGUUGCCAGCGCGUUAUGGCGGGGACUCAUAGGAGACUGCCGGGGUCAACUCGGAGGAAGGUGGGGACGACGUCAAAUCAUCAUGCCCCUUAUGUCUUGGGCUUCACGCAUGCUACAAUGGCCGGUACAAAGGGUUGCGAUACUGUGAGGUGGAGCUAAUCCCAAAAAGCCGGUCUCAGUUCGGAUUGGGGUCUGCAACUCGACCCCAUGAAGUCGGAGUCGCUAGUAAUCGCAGAUCAGCAACGCUGCGGUGAAUACGUUCCCGGGCCUUGUACACACCGCCCGUCAAGUCACGAAAGUUGGUAACACCCGAAGCCGGUGGCCUAACCCUUGUGGGGGGAGCCGUCGAAGGUGGGACUGGCGAUUGGGACUAAGUCGUAACAAGGUAGCCGUACCGGAAGGUGCGGCUGGAUCACCUCCU
This 687-nucleotide ribosomal RNA is filed under the name bacterium TN113A. Its description in RNAcentral is "bacterial SSU rRNA". It matches the Rfam family "Bacterial small subunit ribosomal RNA", at positions 846 to 1531 of the family's 1533-position model. The record is from RNAcentral.